Molecule: ribosomal RNA, 253 nt
Filed under: uncultured bacterium
Lineage: Bacteria
Description: partial 16S ribosomal RNA
Rfam family: Bacterial small subunit ribosomal RNA
Source: RNAcentral
UACGGAGGGUCCGAGCGUUAAUCGGAAUUACUGGGCGUAAAGCGUGCGCAGGCGGUUUGUUAAGCGAGAUGUGAAAGCCCUGGGCUCAACCUAGGAAUAGCAUUUCGAACUGGCGAACUAGGGUCUUGUAGAGGGGGGUAGAAUUCCAGGUGUAGCGGUGAAAUGCGUAGAGAUCUGGAGGAAUACCGGUGGCGAAGGCGGCCCCCUGGACAAAGACUGACGCUCAGGUGCGAAAGCGUGGGGAGCAAACAGG